Molecule: transfer RNA, 67 nt
Filed under: Bembrops anatirostris (duckbill flathead)
Lineage: Eukaryota; Metazoa; Chordata; Actinopteri; Perciformes
Description: tRNA-Cys
Source: RNAcentral
AGUUCCGAGGUGUUCCGCACGCAAGAUUGCAAAUCUUGAAGAGUAGCCUAAUCGUCUGCCGGGGCUU